CACGGGCUUCCGGAGGACACGCCCCACCCCCGAAGGGAGGGGAGUGGGGAGGACUUUGGAGGACGUAUCCCCCCCCCCGCGCUGUCUCGCACCAAGGAAACGGACUCCUAGAGAGGCCAGCAAGGAAGGGGGCGGGGAGGCCACGCCCUCCCUCCCUCCCUGGUCCCUGGCAGGGCCUUUGUUGCUUCCGGUCCUGGAGCUCCGUCGGCAGCCUCUUCCCAAAAAAUUUUCAAAACAGACAACACAUCAAGGCAAAGAAGAGCUGCAAGUCUAUUCCUCUUCAUAAAACUGGAGAGACAGAAUUCAGAAACCGGCCAGAACUGGAAGAAGCCUGUCUUCAUACCUAAGGAAUCUUUUCACAGUCAGAGGCGACCCAAUAGAAGAAGAGGAUGGAGGAGCAGGACCCAGGAGGCCCUGGACUUGGCAAGAGAGUGAGGAAAGACCCCCAUCUCAUCCAAGCUAGGAGUGUUGUUGCAUCCUGGGAGAGAGCUGUGCCAGAGGACUGGGAUCAGAAGCCCCUGAACUCAGAAGUGCUUUGCCAACGCUUCCGACAGUUCUGCUACCAUGAUGCCGAUGGCCCUCGAGAGGUUUGCAGCCAGCUCCAUAGACUUUGCAGCCACUGGCUGAAGCCAGAGAGGCACUCCAAGAAGGAGAUCCUGGACCUGGUGAUCCUGGAGCAGUUCCUGAUCGUCCUGCCCCAA
Molecule: long non-coding RNA, 701 nt
Organism: Sphaerodactylus townsendi
Lineage: Eukaryota; Metazoa; Chordata; Lepidosauria; Squamata; Sphaerodactylidae
Exons: 3
Source: RefSeq, a predicted model, not a curated record